GUGGCUUAAUUUGACUCAACGCGGGAAAUCUUACCGGGUCCGGACACACUGAGGAUUGACAGGCAAUAUCUAAAUCGUUUAUAAUUCCUAUUAUAAUACGUAUUUAGUGUUAAAUAUGCUAGUCCUUUCAUGAUUAUGUGAUAGGUGGUGCAUGGCCGUUCUUAGUUCGUGGAGUGAUCUGUCUGCUUAAUUGCGUUUCACUAAGGGCCCAUAAAUUCAAGGUAUGUUAGCUAUCGUUUCUCAAUUGACCCCUUGUCUUCGAUAAGCGCGUGUCUUUUAGAGUUUAAACAUUGCGCAUGCUGUUGGGUCCUGAAAGCAACGAACGUGACCGCAACGUCUUAUUGCCUUUAUCUUGCUAUAUUUUAAUUUAAUUAAAAAUAGCUAACAGAGGCUAAUUUAAAAUUAGACGGACCGCUGUACUUUUCUUAAACCAGAGGAAGGUUGCGGCAAUAACAGGUCUGUGAUGCCCUUAUAUGUUCCGGGCUGCACACGUGCUACAAUGAUCAGUACAAGUGAGCAUCUCAAUAUUAUCACCCGUAUUAAAGCGCCUUAGUUGCGAUUAUUGGCCCAUUAUUGGGUCUUUUAAUUGAAUUUCUAAUGCGCGCGGUAAA
This 611-nucleotide ribosomal RNA is filed under the name Neogloboquadrina dutertrei. RNAcentral describes it as "bacterial SSU rRNA". The stretch from base 1 to 498 matches the Rfam family "Eukaryotic small subunit ribosomal RNA", at positions 1185 to 1501 of the family's 1831-position model. The record is from RNAcentral. Lineage: Eukaryota; Foraminifera; Rotaliida; Globorotaliidae.